Molecule: ribosomal RNA, 480 nt
Filed under: uncultured bacterium
Lineage: Bacteria
Description: partial 16S ribosomal RNA
Rfam family: Bacterial small subunit ribosomal RNA
Source: RNAcentral
GACGAACGCUGGCGGCGUGCUUAACACAUGCAAGUCGAACGAUGAAGAAAAGAAUCGCAGCUUCGGCAGAAAUUCAUUUCGGAUUAGUGGCAGACGGGUGAGUAACGCGUGAGCAACCUACCUCUUACAAAGGGAUAGCCUCGGGAAACCGGGAUUAAUACCAUAUAACAUUGCGACGAAGCAUUUCGAUGCAAUCAAAGCUACGGCGGUAAGAGAUGGGCUCGCGUCCCAUUAACCGGAUGGUGAGGUAACGGCUCACCAUAGUGACGAUGGGUAACCGGCCUGAGAGAGUGAACGGUCACACUGGAACUGAGACACGGUCCAGACUCCUACGGGAGGCAGCAGUGGGGAAUAUUGCACAAUGGAGGGAACUCUGAUGCAGCGACGCCGCGUGAGUGAUGAAGGAAUUCGUUUCGUAAAACUCUGUUCUAUGGGAAGAAAAGGACUGUACCAUAGGAGAAAGCUCCGGCUAAAUACGUG